CUGCUAAAUAGUCCAAGAAGAUGUCCCACCCACAAAUCUAUCAUUGAAAUGGGCACAAUUAUUGUGGGGAGGACGGGACUAUAGUCCCAUAUCGGCUGUGACUUGGUUCUCGCUGCCUGCGUCCACCGACCGGAUGUAACUUCCUGGAAAGGGGUGAACGACUUUCUUCCACUACAGUGGAUGAAGUUGCUUCCAGUUGAAAACCGACCGGCUAAACAGUCCCAAGAAUAGAAAUGGGUUCCUGAAAAAGAGGUGAACGACUUUCUUCCACUGCAGUGGGUGAAGUUGCUUCCCAAUUGAAAACCGGCC
RNAcentral lists this long non-coding RNA (309 nucleotides) under Elaeis guineensis (African oil palm). RNAcentral's name for it is "long non-coding RNA (EGUI_LNC003588)". The record is from RNAcentral. Lineage: Eukaryota; Viridiplantae; Streptophyta; Magnoliopsida; Arecales; Arecaceae.